CAUGGUCUAGCUAGUCUAAUUAAGCAAAAUGAAUUUUAGUUUAACUUCCCGAAACUAGGUGAGCUACUUCGAAAUAGCCAAGAGCAAACCCGUCUCUGUUGCAAAAGAGUGGGAAGAUUUCCAAGUAGAGGCGAUAAACCUACCGCACCUAGAAAUAGCUGGUUACUUAAGAAAAGAAUUUUAGUUCUACCUUAAGUUUUUAAACUUAAGAGCUAUUCAAAUAAGGCACAGCUUAUUUGAAAAAGGACACAACCUAUUAUAUUGGGUAACCAUAAGUGGGCCUGAAAGCAGCCAUCUUUAAAAAGCGUUAAAGCUUAAUAACCUUAUUAUUAUAUAACCCAUUAUCAAUAUUAAGUAAUUCCAUAAUAUAUGGAAGAUAUAAUGCUAGAACUAGUAACAAGAAACUUCUCCAAAAUGUAAGCUUAAGCCAUUUUAGACACCCUACUGGCAAUUAACGUUUAUGAGUCUACUUUAUUAACAAGAAAACCUUAAAUACACUACGUUAAACUUACACCAGAACAUUUAUGGAAAGAUCAAAAGAAAAAGAAGGAACUCGGCAAACAUUAACCCCGCCUG
Molecule: ribosomal RNA, 576 nt
Filed under: Guibemantis bicalcaratus
Lineage: Eukaryota; Metazoa; Chordata; Amphibia; Anura; Mantellidae
Description: partial 16S ribosomal RNA
Rfam family: Bacterial large subunit ribosomal RNA (bases 1-388)
Source: RNAcentral